Molecule: long non-coding RNA, 714 nt
Organism: Betta splendens (Siamese fighting fish)
Lineage: Eukaryota; Metazoa; Chordata; Actinopteri; Anabantiformes; Osphronemidae
Exons: 3
Source: RefSeq, a predicted model, not a curated record
GAGCGCUAAAACAUGUUAAAAAAGAUAAAUGAUGCAUUAGAACUGGCUGAAAAAGAGGCUAAAAACAAAACCAGGGCUUCUAAGGAACUGCUGCCGUCCAGUGGAAAGCGCGUCUUGCAAAAGGCAGAACGAAGCGACAGCGACUAGUUGCAAUCUGCCUUCUUUUAACCGCCAUGUUAUGUUCAGUGUUGCUUCCUGGCCAACAUCCCUCAGCAGGAGGCUGCACGAUCAUCGAGUUCAGAUGAACUGCGCGACCCCAGCCCCCUGUACCUCCCCGUCCCUCGUCCUGCCGGGGUCCGGCGCGACCCCAGCCCACGGAACCUCCCCGUCCCUCAUCCUGCCGGGGUCCGGCGCGACCCCAGCCCACGGAACCUCCCCAUCCCUCAUCCUGCCGGGGUCCGGCGUGACCCCAGCCCCCUGUACCUCCCCGUCCCGCAUCCUCCCGGGGUCAGGCGCUACCCCAGCCCCCUGUACCUCCCCGUCAGGCGUCUUGCCGGGGUCCGGCGCGACCCCAUUUUUUUUGUUUUUUAUUUUUCCUUCUCCUUUCCUCCCCUUUACCUCCACCCGUGCCACAGGCCCACUGAUGAUGAACAUGAUGAUGAUGACGAACAUGAUGAUGAUGAUGAUGAUGAUGAUGAUGAUGCAAGCAGACAGCUGCGUGCAAGGGCUGACCAUUUUAAACGAAAAAUAAAACAGACCAAACAGGCAAAAACA